Molecule: long non-coding RNA, 555 nt
Organism: Oncorhynchus gorbuscha (pink salmon)
Lineage: Eukaryota; Metazoa; Chordata; Actinopteri; Salmoniformes; Salmonidae
Exons: 3
Source: RefSeq, a predicted model, not a curated record
GGCCUCUUUUCUAACACCCCAUUUAGAGCCUACUGAGAAGGGAUUACAACAUUGGUCUGUUAGGGACAGCGUUUCCUGUAGUUACAGCUGAGACAUUUGGAAGUUUAUUCUUUGGAGGAGGAAGUAUGAUCUCUUGUUCGUUGGAAUAGGAUCUUUGGUGGCAGAACUUUUCUUGGAUUUGAUUUUUGUAUUUUUAUUUGAAGAAAGAAGUUGAACACCUCCUGGUUUCUCCUCUUCUUUCCCCGUGGACGUGUUUAUUGGAGGUAGAGAAGCGAGGGAGGGAGCAGCAUGGAGGAGUGAAGCAGACGGAGAUGCUGUCCGAGGGGUCGUCAGCAACCAUUGUGAUGCGCUGUCGGAACGCCGGCGGUUGGAACGUUGGUGUCGGUGCCGGGAUGACACGCAUCACCACCCUGUGGAUUAUCUGGACCAGCUGGCUCUGCUUGACGGCCAACGGACAGAUGAAGAUACCGCCGGAAACGGUUCAGCAAUGGGCCGUCUCUUAUGGAAAACAAAUCAUUGCUCUUUCAACAAAAUACUCUGGUGCUCUGCUGCUCC